Pantherophis guttatus is the source of this 616-nucleotide long non-coding RNA. RefSeq lists it as uncharacterized. NCBI's taxonomy places the organism in Eukaryota, Metazoa, Chordata, Lepidosauria, Squamata, Colubridae. The record is from RefSeq and is a predicted model, not a curated record.
CAUAGCAUAUAAAGUUGUAAUAAUUAUAAGAGCCACGAUAAUGAUGGCUAGGUUAGUUUAACGAAUUACUCAGCAGGGACUGAUCUGUAAAAUGCAAAGAACAUCAUCUUGUAUAAUCUGAUAUGUAUCUUUUUCAGAAACUGAAGCUUGUGGUCUAAAUUGAUAGCAAAAAAUUCUAUCCAGCAAAAAAAAUGAAUCCAUCUAAUGUGGAAGUUCAGAAACACAAUUCCAAAAUAUAUUGACUCUGGAGAAAUUCAAUCAUCAGAAAAUGAAGAAGAAUCAAGAACACUUACAGCACAAAAUCUCAUCAGCAAGAUUCGAGAGUCUUGAGUUCAAAGAGUCAAAGGAAGAAAGAUACAAAAGAGUGACAACAGCAGUUGUGAGAAAAUAAUGAAUUUUGUAAUGAAUAAAGUACUUCAAUGUGUAGUUAGUGUAGCUUAAAUUUUAUUGAUUCCUAGACAAUUCUGUCAGUUCCAACAAUUGUUCAAAAUAUUUGGAGAGAAGAGUAUAAUUAGCAUUGGGAAUCUGAAUUAUGAUAGUUGAAUGUAAAGUAAUGUCUCCACAUCUCCAUCUCUUUAGUUUAACUAAGGAUUUUUUAAAUAAACAGAAAAAAUAA